Molecule: long non-coding RNA, 1533 nt
Organism: Suricata suricatta (meerkat)
Lineage: Eukaryota; Metazoa; Chordata; Mammalia; Carnivora; Herpestidae
Exons: 3
Source: RefSeq, a predicted model, not a curated record
AGGGCGCUUCCCCCGCGGUUUGUCAGGCAUCUGCAGGUCCCGGAAGCGCCUUCGUCUUACGCGGGAUCCACCUCUACUUCAUUCUCCCCGCCGGCCUCCUCACUCCAGCCCCUGCCCUUGAAGAACCCCACUCCUCCUCGCUGCCUGCCGGGGUUCGGAGUCGCUUGGCAGAGCCUGGGGCUGUGGGGGCUGCGCCACAGUGCACGGGGCCGCCCGCCUGCCUGGUCUUCUGGAGCUGAGGACUCGGGAAGCCAUGCAGUUGAGGCGUGCCUUGGGCUGCUUUAGGGGCGCUGACAGCCGAGGAGCGUUUUCCUGGGUAUGCUGCACCUUCGCAGACUCACCAGGCUGCCAGCGGAGCUUCAGAGCUGAGUGGGGGCAGUGAGCAGGAGGCUAGGGGCAGGGAGCCCGGGCUGAGAAAGGGGUAACAUGCUUCCCCUCCUUCCUUGCAAAGCGUGAGAGCCAGUGAUAUGCAGGGAGAAACUCAGAAGGCUCGGCGCCUUUUCUGCUACUCAUCCCACAGAAGAAACACAAUGCCAAAGAAAGGAGCAAUGCUUCCUACACUCACGGAACCGUGGGUGACAAGAACGCCUCGAAAAGGCCAGACUUGAGCCGAAGGAUUGAAUGAUCAACGUUUGGGAGAAGUGAAAGAAGAGGGCAUAGAGCUGCCAGGCAGGACCGCCAGUUGGGAGGGGCCCAGCCUUGGGGCCUCCCCACACCUAUCUUCUUGGAAGGAGCUGGAUGUCGCUGAAGGAAAGUCGAAAAAUGAAAAAGGAUAACCUUUUCCCUUUCCCCAUCCAGGAAAUAGCUGAAGGAGGCCCUACAGCUGAAGUGAGCCCACGCAGCUCAGGGGAAGACCUGACGGGUGCUAAGGCCACCCUGGAAUGCCAAGUCCGAGUUGUAUUUUUUAAAGAGAUCGAGUGGAUGAGGCUGUGACAUUGGCCCUGACGACCGGUUUCCCAAGAGCUGUUCUUUCUCAGGAGCUCCACAAAGCAGAGCCAUCUCCAGAAAGCAGUCUUCAGCAUGUAUUUCUUUUUAUCCUCAACCCAGAGCCCCACGGCAGCUAAUGCAAAAGGCCAAAAUGUUUUGAAGGAAGAAAAACAAAGGCAGGAAGUGGCGGCGGCCUGACGGUGCGUGUAUGUCUGCGGAGAAGGGAGGGAGCCAUUUCAAUCUCUUCUUGUUGUUUUUCCAAACUUCAAGGUCUAGGCAGCCCUCACAGGGCCGGGCCCUUUCGUUCCCCAAGCAGCGUUUGGAGAUGGCCACCCGGAGAGGAGAAGGCUGGCUCCCGCGCGCCAGCCCUGUCAGGCGGAAACGGCUAACGAGGCGAUUUGCUCAGCAAAGCAGACCAAGCCUUUGCAAGGCUCUGUUUGAUUUGGUCCUAAAUGGGGGGUGGAGGGUGGGUUGGGGGGUUCAGCAGCACCUCCCGGAUCUUCCUGCUGGGGCUGAAUGCGCCUUGGUGGAGAGGAUUCCUGCGUCCUACACUCCACUCACCUUCCCAGGCAAGAUACUGGAAUAAAUUGUGUCCAGGUGCCUCUG